UUUGAAAUUGUAGGAAAAUAUAACUUUUAUGACAAUAAAAAAGUGUUCCAAAUUUCAUAAAAAAUUAACCCUUUGCCUACACACAUUAUUUUUCUCCCGAUUCCUACACACACGGAUUACGCUAACCCCAAAAUUUUGUAGACUUAUAUCUUUAAAUGUAUUUAAUUAAUUUUAACUUCUUUUUUUUUUUUAAUCGAAAGGAAAAAAUCUCAGAAUUAUGAUGGUCUUGGCUAAAAAAUCGAAGAUAUUAAAAGAAAAGUGAUUUUUUUUAAAGAAUGAGAAAGAAACGAAAAAUUUUUGUAAAAAUUCGCUUUUUUUCAAACGCCCGUAUCCUUUCUAAAAAAAGGCAUGUUAAAUCGAUACUCGCAUCUCUCGAAGUCUUCUCGAAAGUCUCGAAUUAUUGUUGACUCUUUUCCGCGAUGAUCUGAUUGGUUCUCUCGCUUAGCUCACUUCGUGCUGCGAGAGUUGUCAGCGCGGGGAUCAUAUGUUAUGUACAUGUAACGUGUGUGCCGCGCUAGGUUAUUAUAUACUUUUUCCAAAAGUAAGUAAUCUUUUACUACUAUAAUAAUAAUCUGAUUAUUAAAGAAGUUGUGACGAAAGAUUAUUGAUGGAAGAUUGAUGAGAACUUGGUCUGUCAUGGAAAACGUGUCAUCAUCGAAAAUAAUUCCAAGAUAGCCUUAGCUUUAGAAAUUAUUCUUUUUAAUUACAGUUUAUGUAGACUGCUAUUUACGAAGGAUGGUUCUGAAAAGUUUGCUAUUUAAAUUAUACAAAAGAAUAAUUUUAGCACGGAGAAUGGGAAUGUUUUUAAUAAUCCAGCAAAUGUCAAAAACAAAGUUGAAAUAUUAAGGAAGCUGAGUUCAUGAGAAGCAUCCCUGUAUGAUUUAUUUGGUUGACAUAUAUGACAUGACUGAAGCCUGAACAUUAUUUUCGAAUUAAUGGAAGGUGGUGAGCUCUUUGAUAAUAGAAUAAAAAGCAGAGGUAAACUGUCUGAACCAUGUGCAAAAAUGAUACUGACUCCCCAAAAAAGCGGUACUCUAAAAAUGUGGAAAAAAUUUUGCAUAUUUCAAAUGAUUAUAACUUCCGCAAUGUUCGUCUGAACGUACAUGCCUCAGUUUCUUUAAUAUUUCAACUUUGUUCUUGACAUUCGCUGGAUUAUUGAAAACAUUCCCCUUCUCUGUGCAAGUAAAAUACAUAAACUGUAAUAUAAAAGAAUAAUUUUUAAGGUUAAGGCUAUCUUGGAAUUAUUUUCGAUGAUGACAUGUUUUCCGUGACCGACCAAGUUCUCAUCAACAAAUCUUCCAUCAAUAAUCUUCCAUCAUAACUUCUUCAAUAAUCAAAUAAUUAUUAUAGUAAUAAAGGAUUAUUUACCUUUGAAAAAUCUCGUUAAAUGUCACUAUCUUCUAAUAAACUUUUUAAACACA
Monomorium pharaonis (pharaoh ant) is the source of this 1421-nucleotide long non-coding RNA. RefSeq lists it as uncharacterized. The record is from RefSeq and is a predicted model, not a curated record. NCBI's taxonomy places the organism in Eukaryota, Metazoa, Arthropoda, Insecta, Hymenoptera, Formicidae. The transcript has 2 exons.